This 253-nucleotide ribosomal RNA is filed under the name uncultured bacterium. RNAcentral's name for it is "partial 16S ribosomal RNA". It matches the Rfam family "Bacterial small subunit ribosomal RNA", at positions 524 to 776 of the family's 1533-position model. The record is from RNAcentral.
UACAGAGGGUGCAAGCGUUGUUCGGAAUUAUUGGGCGUAAAGGGAGUGUAGGCGGUUCUUUAAGUCUUCUGUGAAAUCUACGGGCUUAGCCUGUAACGUGCAGAGGAAACUGGAGGGCUUGAGUGUCGGAGAGGAAAGGGGAAUUCCCGGUGUAGAGGUGAAAUUCGUAGAGAUGUGGAGGAACACCGAUGGCGAAGGCAGCCUCCUGGGCCAGCACUGACGCUCAUGCACGAAAGCGUGGGGAGCAAACAGG